AAGUAUGUUUAAUAUUAUUAGAUGCGUUUGAGCUGCAGCUUACGAGGGAGAAUCUUCAAGGGUAUAAUGAUGUCUGCUGCUAUGUUUUUGUAUUUCUCAUGUUCAAUUGAAUAAUUAUUUGAAAGUUGUCAGCAAAUUUGUUUACUAUUUCAUUUCCAUUUUCUGAUUUUGUGUCUCCGAAUAUGAUUUCAUUUCACUUCCUUGACAGGGGAGAAUCAAACCAUUGAGUGG
Molecule: unclassified non-coding RNA, 231 nt
Filed under: Hevea brasiliensis (rubber tree)
Lineage: Eukaryota; Viridiplantae; Streptophyta; Magnoliopsida; Malpighiales; Euphorbiaceae
Source: RNAcentral